Molecule: long non-coding RNA, 271 nt
Filed under: Solanum tuberosum (potato)
Lineage: Eukaryota; Viridiplantae; Streptophyta; Magnoliopsida; Solanales; Solanaceae
Description: long non-coding RNA (STUB_LNC001891)
Source: RNAcentral
GGAGAGAGAGGAAGCACUAAACCUAACCUGCCUGUUAGUUCUUUCGGAUACAGGUGCAUGUUGUAUCCUCCAAAAGUAACACAUUUUGGAGGACCUGACACGGGUGCAGAGAGUCCGAGCAACAUGUAAACAGGUCCCAUGUCUCACUGAAGUUAUCUUGCUAGAAAUUGACACAUUGACCGACUAUGUCCACAUUCGUCUAAAUGGCACAUUAAUAAUGACAAAUCUUCUUAGAUACAAGUCAAAGAAAUACCAAACUGCAUAAAGCACG